RNAcentral lists this ribosomal RNA (437 nucleotides) under uncultured bacterium. RNAcentral describes it as "bacterial SSU rRNA". It matches the Rfam family "Bacterial small subunit ribosomal RNA", at positions 28 to 482 of the family's 1533-position model. The record is from RNAcentral.
GACGAACGCUGGCGGCGUGCUUAACACAUGCAAGUCGAACGGAAAGGCCUCUUUCGGGGGUACUCGAGUGGCGAACGGGUGAGUAACACGUGAGUAACCUGCCCUUGACUUUGGGAUAACUUCAGGAAACUGGGCUAAUACCGGAUAGGAGCUCCUGCUGCAUGGUGGGGGUUGGAAAGUUUCGGCGGUUGGGGAUGGACUCGCGGCUUAUCAGCUUGUUGGUGGGGUAGUGGCUUACCAAGGCUUUGACGGGUAGCCGGCCUGAGAGGGUGACCGGCCACAUUGGGACUGAGAUACGGCCCAGACUCCUACGGGAGGCAGCAGUGGGAAUAUUGGCACAAAUGGGUGGAAGCCUGAUGCAGCAACGCCGUGUGCGGGAAUGACGGCCUCGGUUGUAACGCUUCGCUCAUGACGAGACUUCGUGUGACGGUAGUGGU